CUUUAUAUAUAAAUGAUCAAAUUUAUCAAAUGAACAUUUCCCGACUCAAUAGUAGUUCUCAACAGCAUUCCUUGUCGGGGAAUUAUGAAGUUAACAGACCAGAAAUGAUUCAACCCAGAACUCACAAAAUGUAUGAGACAGUUCCUUUCCACGACAGCCCUCCUGCUUUUUAUGGCAACAAUCAGAAUGUUUCUGAUGUACAUAGAAAACAGCAACUUCGAUUAGUCAAAAACAGGGAGGCAGCCAGGGAAUGUAGACGGAAGAAAAAGGAGUACGUGCAGUGCCUGGAACAGAGAGUUAAACUUUUGGAGACGCAGAAUCGAAUGCUUAUAGAAGAACUGCGAAAUUUGAAAACGGUGAUUCAAAAU
Octopus sinensis (East Asian common octopus) is the source of this 368-nucleotide long non-coding RNA. RefSeq lists it as uncharacterized. The record is from RefSeq and is a predicted model, not a curated record. The transcript has 3 exons. NCBI's taxonomy places the organism in Eukaryota, Metazoa, Mollusca, Cephalopoda, Octopoda, Octopodidae.